GUUCAUGCAGUUCCACCCACAGACAAGUGAGAGGCGCUGUAGGGCUCCGUAGAAAGUAAAAGGGGAGGAGCGGUAUCGGAGAGUAAAGUAGCCACACGGUCUGUCUGUAUGAUUGUGUGACCAGGCAUGCGCUCGCAUCUGAGAACCAACCGACGCUGAGCAGGGAGCGGAUGAAGAAGCGUUUGGUGGCAUCUGCGAACUCCCGACCACUCCGCUUACUAUUGGCAACGGAAAGACGGUAGCCUCGACAGUUACAGCGGACACCUGACACUCAGCAACAGAAGGCCAACAUAAUACAUUUAGCUGUAAAAAGCAACAACGGUCUUUGCUGGAUAAAGACAGCAUUCACACAUAAGGACGAACGCCGGUGCUGAAGCUCAGCUGCGACUAGGGAGGUGUAGACGGCAAUACUCAGAUCUCAUUUGUCUGUGAUGAGAAUCGCCAUCCACCAGAGACCUAAGUUGCAGUGGUGGGCAGGGGGAUAUGCUGUCAGACCUCUGUGGCUCCAAAACGGUGGGGGCUCAAGAUGAAGUGGCUGUGAGGGAAGGAGAUCAAACAACAUACUGUAUGCCUAACAGAGCAGUACCUGGUGUGAUUGCCUGCUUUGUGUAUGAGUAUAACUUACUGUAUAUCGAUGAUAAUGGACUUGAUUUAUUUAGCCCUUUUCCAAGUGCCCGAAGCGUUGUAUAUCAGUACUGUAGUAGCUUAAUUGAGCAUUUAAAUCACCAACCACCCCAAGAAGUAAUGUUGACGUAGCUGUUAAUUCACCUCAAGAACAAUU
Oncorhynchus tshawytscha (Chinook salmon) is the source of this 781-nucleotide long non-coding RNA. NCBI's taxonomy places the organism in Eukaryota, Metazoa, Chordata, Actinopteri, Salmoniformes, Salmonidae. The record is from Ensembl.